GAUGAACGCUAGCGGCAGGCUUAACACAUGCAAGUCGAGCGAGAACGCUCCUUCGGGAGUUAUUAGAGCGGCGAACGGGUGCGUAACGCGUACACAACCUACCUUUCAAUAAGGAAUAGCCUCGGGAAACUGGGAUUAAUACCUUAUAGUAUUACACUUUCGCAUGUUAGUGUAAUUAAAGCUCCGGCGUUGAAAGAUGGGUGUGCGUCCCAUUAGCUUGUUGGUGAGGUAAAGGCUCACCAAGGCGACGAUGGGUAGCUGGUCUGAGAGGACGAUCAGCCACACGGGCACUGAGACACGGGCCCGACUCCUACGGGAGGCAGCAGUGAGGAAUAUUGGGCAAUGGACGCAAGUCUGACCCAGCCAUGCCGCGUGCAGGAUGACGGUCCUAUGGAUUGUAAACUGCUUUUAUGAGAGAAGAAACCCCUGGAUUCAUCCGGGGCUGACGGUAUCUCAAGAAUAAGCACCGGCUAACUCCG
Molecule: ribosomal RNA, 479 nt
Filed under: uncultured Bacteroidota bacterium
Lineage: Bacteria; Pseudomonadati; Bacteroidota
Description: bacterial SSU rRNA
Rfam family: Bacterial small subunit ribosomal RNA
Source: RNAcentral